CUUCGCCGACCUCAAGCGAACCUCCAAUUGACCCAGGCAACCUCAAUCUGAGUCUCUAGGAGACUGCGGACACUCCAAUCAUUGUCAAUAUGGACCUACACAGGUCCAACGUUUUGAGGUUCAGUUACUAAUGAGUAUGUAUUGUGAUAAACAGGUUGCCGUUCACAUUGCAUCUAAUCCUGUGUUUCAUGAGAAGACCAA
RNAcentral lists this long non-coding RNA (201 nucleotides) under Actinidia chinensis (golden kiwifruit). RNAcentral's name for it is "long non-coding RNA (ACHI_LNC000787)". The record is from RNAcentral. Lineage: Eukaryota; Viridiplantae; Streptophyta; Magnoliopsida; Ericales; Actinidiaceae.